This 73-nucleotide transfer RNA is filed under the name Candidatus Levyibacteriota bacterium. RNAcentral describes it as "tRNA-Arg". It matches the Rfam family "tRNA". From Rfam's summary of the family: Transfer RNA (tRNA) molecules are approximately 80 nucleotides in length. Lineage: Bacteria; Candidatus Levyibacteriota. The record is from RNAcentral.
GCGCUUGUAGCUCAAUGGAUAGAGCAUCAGAUUGCGGAUCUGAAGGUUAUGAGUUCGAGUCUCAUCGAGCGCA